UGUGGAUGUUGAAAAAUCCUGAGAUGACUUGAGAGUAGGAGCGAAAGACUAAUCAAACCCCGUGAUAGCUGGUUCUCUCCGAAAUCGCUUGAGGGCGAGUCUUAUGGAAGUACCCGACGGAGGUAGAGCACUGAAUGGCUUAGGGGCCCUACCUGGCUGCCAAAACCAAUCUAACUCCGAAUACCGUCGGUCUCAGUAUCAUAGGAAUCAGGCCGUAGGGGAUAAGCUUUAUGGCCGAGAGGGCAACAGCCCAGACCAUCAGCUAAGGUGCCUAAAUGUGAUUAAGUGGAAAGGAUGUGGCUUUGCUUAGACAGUGAGGAUGUUGGCUUAGAGGCAGCCAUCAUUUAAACAGUGCGUAAUAGCUGACUCAUCGAGCGAGGUCGCGCCGAAAAUGAUUGGCGAUCAAAUCACAUACCGAAGCUAUGGAUUCCAUUCUGAUUCGUCAGAAUGGAGUGGUAGGAGAGCGUAAUCAGUGCUGCGAAGCUGGACGGAAACGGAAAGUGGAGCGCUGAUUAGUGAGAAUGCAGACACGAGUAGCGAUAAACCAGGUGAGAAUCCUGGUCGCCGUAAACCUAAGGUUUCCUGGGCCAGGUUCGUCCUCCCAGGGUUAGCCGGGAGCUAAGAUGAGGCCGUAAGGCGUAAUCGAUGCACAGCAGGUUAAAUAUUCCUGCGCCCGCCAGGGUUAAGGCUGUGAAUGACGCAUGGGAAGACAUUGACUAGACAAUUGAAUGUUGAGCUUAGGCUUCGGCCGAAGCGUAUCAGUGGGUUCCUGUGCCUAGAAAACUUCGCAGUUGUUCCCCUGACGGCCCGUACCGCAAACCGACGCAGGUAGGUGAGUGUAAGCGCACUCAGGCGCGCGAGAGAAACCUCUCUAAGGAACUCGGCACAUUUGCCUCGUAACUUCGGGAGAAGAGGUGCCCACUUCGGUGGGCCACAGUAAAUUGCGUUUAGCGACUGUUUAACAAAAACACAGCACUCUGCCAAGUCGUGAAGACGACGUAUAGGGUGUGACACGUGACCAAUGCGGAAAGAUUAAAACAUUGGGUUAGCCGCAAGGCGAAGCUCGGUGUCCAAGUCCCCGUGAAUGUCGGCCGUAACUAUAACGGUCCUAAGGUAGCGAAAUUCCUUGUCGGGUAAGUUCCGACCUGCACGAAUCGUGUAACGACUGAACGACUGUCUCGGAGAGGAUCUCGGCGAAACUGUAACGGCGGUGAAGAUGCCGCCUGCCCGCAGUAGGACGGAAAGACCCUAUGCACCUUUACUGUAAGCUCGUAUUGUGUUCUGAUCAAUUAUGCGUAGCGUAGGUGGGAGACUUUGAAGCGGGCCCUUCGGGGCUCGUGGAGUCGCAAUGUGAAACACCACUCUUAGCUGAUUAGGAUUCUAACCCCGAUUUCUGUGAAACCAGACGGGGGACCGUGCGUGCGGGUCAGUUUGACUGGGGCGGUUUCCUCCCGA
Molecule: ribosomal RNA, 1455 nt
Filed under: metagenome
Description: bacterial LSU rRNA
Rfam family: Bacterial large subunit ribosomal RNA
Source: RNAcentral